CGGAGAAAAUCGGGCUCGCUUAUAAUACAAAACCGUGUUUUACUGCACAUGAACGUCCCAUUUUAAGUCGGACAAAACUGAAAAAAAAACCUUUUUGGAUGAAUGUUUCACGGUGUGGAUAAAGCGUUGUUAUUGACACGGUCAGAAUUUAUGGUCGUUGCGUGCGCGCAAAUACAAAACGAACGGUCAAAACAGGCAUCCAGGCAAUUUUGUCGUAAAUUGCAUUCGCACAACUAGCCUUAGCCCGAAAAAUGUAUAUAUCCGUGGACAACAUUCCUUUUGGGUCCUUAAAACAAGACACAUAGUCGUAAACUCUACGCGAGACAAUUGCACCGGGUGAAUAUAUACACACAAAUAUUAUUAUUGUAUACCAGUACUGCGAUCGUGACGACGGGGUCAACCCUAUAUAGUUACCAGCAAGGCUGCUACAGUAUCAACGGUGGAGUCUGUAUUAUUACCUCGGUCGUAAAAACUCCGGACGUAUUAAACU
Cinara cedri is the source of this 490-nucleotide non-coding RNA. The record is from the annotation of a GenBank genome assembly. NCBI's taxonomy places the organism in Eukaryota, Metazoa, Arthropoda, Insecta, Hemiptera, Aphididae.